AACGAACGCUGGCGGCAUGCCUAACACAUGCAAGUCGAACGAGACCUUCGGGUCUAGUGGCGCACGGGUGCGUAACGCGUGGGAACCUGCCCUUAGGUUCGGAAUAACUCCCCGAAAGGGGUGCUAAUACCGGAUAAUGUCUUCGGACCAAAGAUUUAUCGCCUUUGGAUGGGCCCGCGUUGGAUUAGCUAGUUGGUAGGGUAAAAGCCUACCAAGGCGACGAUCCAUAGCUGGUCUGAGAGGAUGAUCAGCCACACUGGGACUGAGACACGGCCCAGACCCGGAGGGAAGAGGGGGGAGGAGAAUAUAGGAGGGGGGAGGAAGGCGUAGCACAGCAACGCGGGGGGAGAGAGGAGGCCUUUGGGGUAGAAAAGUUUUUUUCCAGGGGGUGAGAGUGACGGUACGGGGAAAAGAAGCUCCGGCUAACCCCGGG
RNAcentral lists this ribosomal RNA (433 nucleotides) under uncultured bacterium. RNAcentral describes it as "partial 16S ribosomal RNA". It matches the Rfam family "Bacterial small subunit ribosomal RNA", at positions 29 to 507 of the family's 1533-position model. The record is from RNAcentral.